This is a long non-coding RNA of Neoarius graeffei (lesser salmon catfish), 642 nucleotides long. RefSeq lists it as uncharacterized. The transcript has 3 exons. NCBI's taxonomy places the organism in Eukaryota, Metazoa, Chordata, Actinopteri, Siluriformes, Ariidae. The record is from RefSeq and is a predicted model, not a curated record.
GUGAAGUCUCGUACAGGUCCAGAUGAGUAUCUGCGUAAUGCAUUGUGGCACACUGGUGACACACAUGGAGAGGUGACCCUGCUCUGGAAGGAUCCGAGGAAUGUGGGAUGGCGUGAUAAAACAUCGUACCGCUGGAGCCUCAGCCAUCAGCCACAGGUCGGCUACAUCAGAGUGCGUCUGUAUGAAGGCGCUGCUCUGGUUGCGGACUCCGGUGUGGUGAUUGACACCUCGAUGAAAGGAGGACGUCUGGGUGUUUUUCUGCUUCUCACAGGAGAACAUUAUCUGGUCCAAUCUGAACUAUCGAUGUAACGAUACAAUCCCAGAUGAUUUUUACCUCCAUCACAAACAGAUGAACCUCAGGACGGGAGCAUAGAUGAGCGUCCAUGUCUUUAAUCACUGCAUCAUGCAACCUCAAGAUACCACAGUCUGCAGUGUGUGUGCGUGCGUGCUAGUGCUGUAUGUGAGCUCAUGUCUCUGUGUCUGGAUAGUGUUUUAUUUCCCCCUUAAUCUUAUGAUUGCUGAUUAACUCAGUGUCUGUAUUAAACUCAGUAUUUAGUCCAGAGAGUCUCACACUGAGGACAGCUAGUAUGCAGAUGUGACAUAAUUAAUGCUACAGAGUGAAAGCUUCUGUUACAAACACGU